CCUACGGGAGGCAGCAGUAGGGAAUAUUGCUCAAUGGGGGAAACCCUGAAGCAGCAACGCCGCGUGAAGGAUGAAGGUUUUCGGAUUGUAAACUCCUUUUGUUAGAGAAGAUAAUUACGGUAUCUAACGAAUAAGCACCGGCUAACUCCGUUCCGGCAGCCGCGGUACUACGGCGGGUGCAAGCGUUACUCGGAAUUACUGUGCGUAAAGAGCGCGUAGGCGGGAUAGCAAGUCAGCUGUGAAAUCCUAUGGCUUAACCAUAGAAAUGCAUUUGAAACUGGGAGUCUAGAGUAUGGGAGAGGUCGGUGGAAUUCGUGGUGUAGGGGUAAAAUCCGUAGAGAUCAAGAGGAACACUCAUUGCGAAGGCGACCUGCUAGAACAUAACUGACGCUGAGGCGCGAAAGCGUGGGGAGCAAACAGGAUUAGAUACCCCUGUAGUC
RNAcentral lists this ribosomal RNA (440 nucleotides) under uncultured bacterium. RNAcentral's name for it is "partial 16S ribosomal RNA". It matches the Rfam family "Bacterial small subunit ribosomal RNA", at positions 338 to 795 of the family's 1533-position model. The record is from RNAcentral.